CCCUAUGGGGUGCAGCAGGCGGGAUCGAUCAUCAUCUAUCUCUUCGAGAUCUUCAUCGCCUGCAUCCAGGCGUUCAUCUUCGCCAUCCUCUCCGCCGUGUACAUCGGCGGGGCGCUGGAUCAGGAGGAAUGAGUGCUCGCUGCACGACACCACGACCCCGCACCGCGCGUGCAUCGUCAAGGAGGACACUGAAUGGACGCUGAAUCCGCGAAGCUUCUUGCCGCCGGCAUCUCGAUGGGCGGCGGCUCGCUCGGGCCCGCGGUCGGGCUUGGCAUGCUCAUCAGCAAGGCGCUCGAGAGCAUCGCCCGCCAACCCGAGGUGUCCGGCGAGAUCCGCACCGACAUGUUCAUCGGGAUCGGCGUGACCGAGGCCGUGGCCCUUUACGCCUUCGUCAUCGCCUUGAUCCUCAUCUUCGUCGCUUGACGGUCGUGGCGGGGGGGC
Molecule: ribosomal RNA, 441 nt
Filed under: uncultured prokaryote
Description: partial 16S ribosomal RNA
Source: RNAcentral